RNAcentral lists this ribosomal RNA (112 nucleotides) under Caerostris darwini. Lineage: Eukaryota; Metazoa; Arthropoda; Arachnida; Araneae; Araneidae. The record is from RNAcentral.
AACGGCCGUACCAUGCUGAAUAUACCGGUUCUCGUUAGAUCACCGAAGUUAAGCAUCAUUGGGCGCGGUCAGUACUUGGGUGGGUGACCACUUGGGAACACUGCGUGCCGUU